Molecule: ribosomal RNA, 519 nt
Filed under: uncultured bacterium
Lineage: Bacteria
Description: partial 16S ribosomal RNA
Rfam family: Bacterial small subunit ribosomal RNA
Source: RNAcentral
UGGGGAAUUUUGGACAAUGGGCGAAAGCCUGAUCCAGCAAUGCCGCGUGUGUGAAGAAGGCCUUCGGGUUGUAAAGCACUUUUGUCCGGAAAGAAAUCCUUGGCUCUAAUACAGUCGGGGGAUGACGGUACCGGAAGAAUAAGCACCGGCUAACUACGUGCCAGCAGCCGCGGUAAUACGUAGGGUGCAAGCGUUAAUCGGAAUUACUGGGCGUAAAGCGUGCGCAGGCGGUUUGCUAAGACCGAUGUGAAAUCCCCGGGCUCAACCUGGGAACUGCAUUGGUGACUGGCAGGCUAGAGUAUGGCAGAGGGGGGUAGAAUUCCACGUGUAGCAGUGAAAUGCGUAGAGAUGUGGAGGAAUACCGAUGGCGAAGGCAGCCCCCUGGGCCAAUACUGACGCUCAUGCACGAAAGCGUGGGGAGCAAACAGGAUUAGAUACCCUGGUAGUCCACGCCCUAAACGAUGUCAACUAGUUGUUGGGGAUUCAUUCCUUAGUAACGUAGCUAACGCGUGAAGUUGA